CCUACGGGUGGCAGCAGUGGGGAAUAUUGGGCAAUGGGCGAAAGCCUGACGCAGCGACGCGUGGAGAAAGAAGGCUUUCGGGUUGUCAACUUCUUUUGUCAGGGACGAAGCAAGUGCCGGUACCUGACGAAUAAGCCAUGGCUAACUACGUGCCAGCAGCCGCGGUAAUACGUAGGUGGCAAGCGUUCUCCGGAUUGAUUGGGUGUAAAGGGCGUGUAGGCGGGAAGGCAAGUCAGAGGUGAAAACUAUGGGCUCAACCCAUGGCCUGCAUUUGAAACUGGAUUUCUUGAGUGCUUGAGAGGCAAGUGGAAUUCCGGGUGUAGCGGUGAAAUGCGUAGAUAUACGGAGGAACAUCAGUGGCGAAGGCGGAUAGCUGGACAGUAACUGACGCUGAGGCGCGAAAGCGUGGGUAGCAAACAGGAUUAGAUACCCUUGUAGUC
This 440-nucleotide ribosomal RNA is filed under the name uncultured bacterium. Its description in RNAcentral is "partial 16S ribosomal RNA". It matches the Rfam family "Bacterial small subunit ribosomal RNA", at positions 338 to 795 of the family's 1533-position model. The record is from RNAcentral.